Non-coding RNA from Trichonephila inaurata madagascariensis, 73 nucleotides. NCBI's taxonomy places the organism in Eukaryota, Metazoa, Arthropoda, Arachnida, Araneae, Nephilidae. The record is from the annotation of a GenBank genome assembly.
CUCUGUGUAGAGUAAUGGAUAGCGCUUUGGACUUCUAAUCCAAAAGUCAUUAGUUUGAAUCUCAACUCAGAUG